UUUCAAAUUAAGGUAGCCACCAAAAUAUUGGGACAUAUAAAAAAAAGACAACUCUGUUCCGCAGAGUAGCUGUUGACAUUAUAGUUGCACAGGCACUUUGUUGACUCUAGAGAACCUCGGGCCAAUCGCACAUCUCCGUGACGGCGACUUUGCAUUCGAAUGUCAUCCAUAUCAACUUUCGAUGCCAGUUUCUGCGCCUACCAUGGUGACCACGGGUAAUGGAGAAUCAGGGUUCCAUUCCGUACAGGGACCGUGAGAAACGGCUACCACAUGCAAGGAAGGCAGCAGGCGCGCAAAUGACCCACUCCCGACACGGGAAGGUAGUGACGA
This is a non-coding RNA of Pelobates cultripes (western spadefoot toad), 330 nucleotides long. Lineage: Eukaryota; Metazoa; Chordata; Amphibia; Anura; Pelobatidae. The record is from the annotation of a GenBank genome assembly.